UGCCUAUAUAUUGGGCAUGUCGCAGCUCCUGUUCUGCCUUCACACAGCUAGUAAUUAAUCUACAAGGUUACUCCGGUGAACACAGCUGGGCAUUAUUGGGCUGUAGCUUUCUCACGAACCGCCUGAUGGACAGCAGCAACGCGAACCGCUCGCAGUCGCAGCCUCCUCCAGGCUACCCGAGGUUGGACGACGCGGAGCAGCAGGGCGGCGGCGGCAGGAGGAAGAAGAAGGGGUGCUGCGGACCGCGCCGCCGCGCGGCGACGGCCAAGCGCGGCGAGGCGAGCUUCAUCGAGGGAUGCAUCGCCGCGCUCUGCUGCUGCUGGCUCUGCGAGCUCUGCUGUGAUUAACUUGCUGAUCCAAAAGAAGAAGGUGGUGCGCAAUGUAACACACAAGGAGCCACCGUGGCAGGCGGAGAUUGAUCUUAAAUGACGAUCAGGAUGUAGUUAUACGUUGUACACAUUUUAAUCUCCAUGUGUUGUUCCUGGUGUAUCAUCCAUGGAAAUAAAAAUCAAGAUCUGUCACACUUGA
Molecule: long non-coding RNA, 528 nt
Organism: Panicum virgatum (switchgrass)
Lineage: Eukaryota; Viridiplantae; Streptophyta; Magnoliopsida; Poales; Poaceae
Exons: 3
Source: RefSeq, a predicted model, not a curated record